UGUUGUGGUCUAAUAUAAUGUUCCUGUUGAGAAAGCAGUCAAGAGAGGAGAAACAUAAUCGUCUAUCUUAGGAAAGUAAAUAAAAGAAAGAAAAGGUUCCCCAUCUUGUCAUUGGCUCAGGGGAAAUAGAAUCAGCCAUUAUUCAAUUCCAGCCUUCAAGGUGACAACACCUUAUAAUAUCACAAGAGAAUUUUUAUAUGCUAAUAACCUUUUGGUGCACUAUAAAUACCUCUCUCCCUUCAUGCACAAACUUAUCAGCUUAGCUAUCUAUAUAUCUGUGUUUUCAUUGCUUUCCCAUCAAAUUAAACCCCCUUCGUUUUCGAUCGUGUGGUUUAUAUUGUGUUAGGGUAGGGUAAUCUGCAUCCUGAGGUCUAGAUCAGUGUUUUCGCCAGGCCAGAUUCUAGGCCACGGGAAGCAGAUUACCUCUUCCUAACUAACAAUGCAAAGAGGUUUGUUACUACUCAAUCAUGGUGGCUAUGGCUGAAAGGUUGGUCUGUUGUAUUUGUGCAGAAGUUCCUUGCUCAUGUAAAAGUGGAUCAUCUACCAUGCUUUAUGCAGAAGUUCCUUGCUCUUGGGGAGAUCUUGAUGCGUCCUAAUUGGCUAUUGAUAGGAAUCCGGGCCAAUAUAUAAAACUUGAGUCAAAUAAGUUAGCGUUUAAGGGUUUAUGGUGUAGUUAAGGUUUGGGUUCAUAUCAGAUUUGUAUUCGCACGAAAAAAGAUGACUUCAUAUAUAUGUUUCUUCUUGGAUAAUCUGCAGGUAGCUAUAGGCUUAGUAUAGCUUCUGAAAGGAGUUAAGCAGCCAUGAAUAUGUAUAGUUGCAUGCAAUUAACUUCAUAUGGUGUUAAAUAGAGUUAAAUAGUGGUGAAUUGGGACCAUCCUAACCAAGUUGUUCAAACCAUUGAAUUGAUAAUCACAAAUUUUCAAGUUCGAUUUA
Ipomoea triloba (trilobed morning glory) is the source of this 933-nucleotide long non-coding RNA. RefSeq lists it as uncharacterized. The transcript has 2 exons. Lineage: Eukaryota; Viridiplantae; Streptophyta; Magnoliopsida; Solanales; Convolvulaceae. The record is from RefSeq and is a predicted model, not a curated record.